AGCAGCGUGUCCGAGAACGGAGAAAGAGAAGAAGAGAGAGGGCGGACCUUGUUCGGUCGUUCUUAUGGCUUGAAAUGGUUCACGCCCCUUUUUCGCGUAAACAGCCAAUGAAAGUCCGCGAUCUGAAGCGGAGGGAAAAGUUCCUUUGUCUCUGUGGAGACAACCCCCUGGAGAUCUAGGUCUUGUCCAAAUUCCAGGGAUUAUUCUAGCAAGUUUGUAAUUCAGAUUACAUACAUUUUUCAUUACUUUGCUCUAGAUAAAUGGGUCUGUCAGAGCAUGACGAUCACAAAGAUACUAAACAUAAUAUAUAUAAAUGAUCAAAACAUGAAGUUACAUUCAAAUGCAGAAUUACACAUAUUUAAAGAUUUGAUUAACACAUGAUAACACUGCAGAUAGUCCCAAUUUAUAUGGGAAAUUUCUAAUGCACCGCAAAAUCAAUAACAUACACAUUAAUACUACAUUUAAUACUACAUUAAUACAUAUUAAUACUACAUUUGAGUACAUUUUACCAUUCUUUUGUAAGGAUUAGGUUUCCUGUCCUGUGUGGUCGUAAAGUUUUACGACCUGCAGGGGUGGGGGUUGCAGAAACAUGGCUCUCUUUGAGAAAGAGCCAGGCUGAGGAGAACAUUUCCACCUAUGAAUCGAUGAUCUGCAUAUCUGUUACAUAGCUUUUCAGUAGCGAAGCUCUUUUUUUUAACCAAGUAGUGCGGUAGCUUCCACACAAGCUACAUUUUCUCAAGCAUUUCUGAAGCUCAAACUCAAAUCGGGAAAUACAACUGCUAAGAUUUCUGAUUUCUGACCGAGAGAACAGAGAGAAAAUGCUUUUCAGAUGCUGCUUGUAAAAAUUAUCAGGGUCCAGCCUGGCCAUAUCCUACGUGUAAUAAUCUCGUACACACACACAAACACACACACAAAGUUUUUUUUUUUUUUUGGUACUGUUUUUGAGGUCUUGCAUUUGGUUCUGCAAAGGCCUAUAGUAUAUUAAGCAUGCCCAUGCAACAGGUGCAUACACUUACUUGUGCGUGUGUUAAUUACAUGUAUUUUGAUUGUUUUUGUUGCCAAAUUGAUAAGGAACACAAAAAACAAUUAAACUAAACAAUUACACAUCUGUUUGACUAACAGUUUUGAGCACUGAGAUAGCAUUGACUUGUAAUAAAAUGUUUUUGACAUUUUAGCAUUGACUUGUUUUUAAAUUUGGUUUUGAAAAAGCUCUUUACCAGUGAGACUAAAUAAAAGUAUGCUAUAUACAUAAAUUAUUUCAAAAUGUUAAAAUCAAAUAAUGUUGGUGCAAAUAAAACAAAGAUGCAAAGUGUAUCAUUAUACCCUAUAUCAAAUAAUUUAUAAUAAAAAAAAAAAUUAGGGUAAUGAUUCACAUCUAUAUUUUUUUACUUGAGCCAAUGAAAAAUAAAUAACUUAUUGUCUCAAGUAAAAAAAAAUAGAUGUGAAUCAUUACCCUACAUUUUUUUUAUUGGAUGAAUGAAAUGCUGUUUUUCAGUGUGCUACAGCAGUUGAUUUUUAAAAUUAAAUUAAGUCUAUGUAAUUUUAAGGUAAAAUAAAAAUAAUCAUCCUAAUGCAGAAAUUACGUUUACUUCUGGCUUUUCAAACGUGUAUGCAAGUUCUAAUGUACAAAAACAAAAAGUUUCAGCUUUGUUACAGUUUAGUCCGUUUCGUUUCUCAUCCAACAUGUGAGAAGUUGAGCUGAACAUCUCUUCACUGUCUCACUCUAUGUUGGCGCAGCUUUAGUGCGCGCAGGAAAGGGACUCUUAUUUGUGCGGCAGUACAACAACGGCUGUUCGCGUCCUGCUAUCUGUGCCUCAGACAUGUAGCUCUGCACUUCCAGUGCUGAACGGCUGCCUGUAUCCUGCCCACAGAUUUCAAAAUACUUCCACACAAAUUAAAUAGCAAACGAUUACAAUGUAGUCUGUGCAAGCGGGCGCACUUCCGGAAAAAUUGGCCGAAAAAAGACCAAAAACUGAUUCAUUUGCGUUAGUUUUGAGUAACAAUUGGGCGGGUUUUGUUGUGAAAACCUGGCAACCCUGCUGGAGCUUCAAGAGCCCAUGCUCACAGCAUACCGAUGUUACAGUUUGAAAGGGUCAUAUGCGUUUUCAAUAAGUUAACAUACUCUGUUACACCAAAUACACAAAAUAAUGAUCUUUAAAAAAGCAUCAUUUGACUCCUUAAACCGGUGGUGAUCAAGUGUUAUUAACUUCACAUUGCUUCCAAAUGAAAUUUUUAACUACCACAUUCCUAUUUACGAGCAUUCUGGUAGCACAUGAAGGAGGCAUUAGUAAAACCAGGCAGACACAAUGGUAGCUUUAGCAACAUUAGCGUUACAAAGAGCCAAAGAAGCUCUUUUGGAAAAGGAAAAAAAAGAUGUUUGAUGCUUACUUUGUCUGUUGUCUGCUUGUUUGCACAUGAAGCAUUGGUAUCCUCCUUUUAAGAAGCAAUUUUUGCACAACUGCAGCCAUAAACGGACAUUCAUUUGUAAGGCAGUCCAGUGUAAAAUGUUUGCACAAGUGUAUAGGAUGUUUCAGUUUUUUUCCUGGGACUUUUCCCUCGAAAAUGAAAUUUAACCAUCGUGUCCUCAGUUGUCUGUGGAGACUCCUAUGUUUGUUGGUGCUUCCCAGCACGUGACACUUUUAAUGGCUCUUUGGCGCUGACAUUUGGCGCUUUUCCACUGCAUGGUACGGCUCGGUUCAACUCUGUACAGUUCGACUCGGUGCAGAACGGUUCGGCUCGCUUCGCUUUUCCACUGCUUGGUAUGACUCGACUUGGUACGGCACGGUUUGGUUCGCUUUAGCUCGGUUGCUUUCCACUGCAGUUAGUACCGCUUCAAAGUGGGUGGGACUGAUCAUUAAUAUUUGCCGCCUCUACUUUCAUGACAUCAUCCUAAACGCACAACACAGGAACAAUGGAGCCUAUCAAGGGGAUGGUGUUCUUGAUUCUCGGCAUGUGGAUGUUUUUAACUUCAAGAUGGAUAGAAGUGUUUAAAAUGAGGCUGAUGGCAGCAAUUACUUAAAAAAAAAACUCAAAAAAGUCUGGGAACUCUUACAACAAAGCGAAGAUGACGACAUCACUCGGUUUGCCCGACGGCGCACGAGGAUGCAUCAUAUUUUGCAAAGUGAUAUAUAAUAUUUUUAACAGAGCUUCAGAUUGGUGGGGUGUGAUUGUUCCUGGGUUUACAAACACACAGUGGUUGGAGAACUUUAGAAUGUCGGAAGAAACAUUUAUUUACUUGUGCAACAAACUUCGUCCUGCGAUGGAGAGACCGGACACAAACUUCCGCGUGUGUGUACCUCUAAAAAAGAGAGUAGCCAUUGCACUGUGGAAGCUUGCUACCGGCUCGGAGUACAGAAGUGUUGGACAUCAUCUUGGAGCAAGCAUUUCAACUGUGUGUCGGUGUGUUCAGGAAUUCUGUGCUGCAGGAGAGACGUUGUUGAUACUAGAACAAAUUCGUUUUCCAGACCAGGAGAGGUUUAAAGAAAUGGCUGCCUACGUUGAGAACAGAUGGGGACUUCCACAGUGUAUUGGUGCUAUUGAUGGAUCACACAUAACAAUAAUAGCCCCACAAGACUAUUUCAACCGUAAAGGCUGGCACUGGAUCAUCCUUCAAGGUGUUGUGGAUGGGAAGGUACUUUUCUGGAAUGUGUUCACAGGACUGCCUGGAAGCCUGCAUGAUGCUCGGGUUUUGAGACUGUCCACACUGUGGGAGGUGACAAGCUGUGGAAACCACAUACCAGCUAGCACCAAAAACAUUGCUGGGGUGAAUGUUGGCUACUACAUCCUUGGAGACUCUGCCUAUCCCUUGCAGAACUGGCUAUUAAAACCAUUCAUUGACACUGGACGGCUAACAGCGGGUCUACAACAUUAAAAUCUCCAGAGCACGUGUAGUGGUUGAAAAUGCUUUUGGUAGAUUAAAAGAAGGAUGGCGUUGCCUUAUGAAAAGAAAUGACUGUGCGGUCGACCUUCUGAAAUCUAUGGUGCUGACAUGCUGUGCUCUACAUAACCUUUGUGAGAGUCAUGGAGAGGCCUAUGAGAGUGCAUGGGAUCCACCUUCAGCAGCAGAGCCUGUGCUGGGACUGGCACAGCCUGUAGAGGAGGGGGGAAGGGAUGUCCUUGAGGCUCUGAUGCGUUACUUGAAUAGUUGACUCUGUCUGUUCUGUAAAGUGUGUUGUAAAUAAACUUUUGUGCAUUAUUUGAAAAA
This is a long non-coding RNA of Carassius gibelio (silver crucian carp), 4204 nucleotides long. RefSeq lists it as uncharacterized. The transcript is spliced from 2 exons. Lineage: Eukaryota; Metazoa; Chordata; Actinopteri; Cypriniformes; Cyprinidae. The record is from RefSeq and is a predicted model, not a curated record.